This 465-nucleotide ribosomal RNA is filed under the name Vreelandella stevensii. RNAcentral describes it as "partial 16S ribosomal RNA". It matches the Rfam family "Bacterial small subunit ribosomal RNA", at positions 338 to 795 of the family's 1533-position model. Lineage: Bacteria; Pseudomonadati; Pseudomonadota; Gammaproteobacteria; Oceanospirillales; Halomonadaceae. The record is from RNAcentral.
CCUACGGGAGGCAGCAGUGGGGAAUAUUGGACAAUGGGCGAAAGCCUGAUCCAGCCAUGCCGCGUGUGUGAAGAAGGCCUUCGGGUUGUAAAGCACUUUCAGUGGGGAAGAAAGCCUUGGGGCUAAUACCCUCGAGGAAGGACAUCACCCACAGAAGAAGCACCGGCUAACUCCGUGCCAGCAGCCGCGGUAAUACGGAGGGUGCGAGCGUUAAUCGGAAUUACUGGGCGUAAAGCGCGCGUAGGCGGUCUGAUAAGCCGGUUGUGAAAGCCCCGGGCUCAACCUGGGAACGGCAUCCGGAACUGUCAGGCUAGAGUGCAGGAGAGGAAGGUAGAAUUCCCGGUGUAGCAGUGAAAUGCGUAGAGAUCGGGAGGAACACCAGUGGCGAAGGCGGCCUUCUGGACUGACACUGACGCUGAGGUGCGAAAGCGUGGGUAGCAAACAGGAUUAGAUACCCCAGUAGUC